ACACACACCUGCACAGGUGAGCCCCAUCAAGACAUUUAAAGGCUGCCAGUGGACUGUGUGGAUGUGAGUGCUUUUACAUGCACUAAAUAACCUGGCCAGCAAAAUGGUUUCAUGCUGUGGAUUCCUCCUUCACACUAAAUGGAUCCUGAGAGGAAACCCGGCUCUCCGCCCGCCCGCUGCCGUCAGGAGCCUCGCUGCUGUAAGACGGCGACAGAUUUGUGAUUAAACGGCCACUUUGUCAUGCGAGAGGGACAUAAUGCAUCAACACAGCUCUGCUCCUGUUUCCUCUCCGUCCCAAAGCUCUCUCAGCUGCAGCUCCUUCGUCUUGUCGUUGUCGAGCACGUCGGUGCCCGAGGCGUGAGCUUCCCUCUCCGCCUGUUUCUGCUGGAGGACGAGCCGAGGUGCAGGAUCGGCCAAAAGCAAGCAGAGACUUGGCCUGCAGGAGGGUCUCGUGUUUGUGUUGUGACCGGCGUCCAGCUGCCAGGUGAACAUCCUCAAUCACCCUCAUGUUUCGGGAAACGCGCUCAUCGACGCGGCAGAAUACAGACUCGGCGCCUCAGUCGUUCAGAGUGUGAGCCCUGAAGCCGGAGCAGAGAUCAGCACGCCGUCUCAUUCCCAGUGAAAGGAAGCAGAUCGCUGUUUCUGUGAAGAGAGCUGUGUGAUAAUCCUCAUCCCAUCUGGUCACUGUAAAACACCGUAACUAGUCGUUUAGCUCACUGCUCUCUACCAAAACACAAUGUUUUCAAUUUUUCUUAAAACAAAUUACAUAACAUUACUCCCCAUAUUUUUCACAUAAGAGUGUAAGAUGCUUUUAACAAGUAAUCUAGUUCGUUACUUGGCCCUCAGAUCACUCAUCUUGUAACACCUUACUUAAUAUUCCCAAUAUUUUUAAUGUGAAAUCAUUUUACACUGCAAAAAGUGCAGCACUGAAGUACAGUUUUGAGGUACUUGGCACUUUAUACUUCUACAUUUCAGAGGAAAAUGUUUUUUACUCUAUUACAUUUAUCUGACAGUUAGUUACUUUUUAGAUUAACAUUUAAGAAUAUAUGAAAAAGAUCAUUUCUCUGCAUAACGAGUACUUUUACUUGUGAUGUUUUUAGGACAUUUUGCUGCUAAUACUUAAUCUGUAUUUUUACUAAAGUGGGAUUUUGAAUGCAAGACUUUUUACUUGUAAUGUAAAAUGUAUUUUUAGAUUUAUGGAGAAUUUUAAAAAAAAAGUUUUGUUACGCUUUUCUAAAGGUGGUAUUAAAGUUUUUAAGAAAAGCAAAUCAAUUCAUUUCAGCAGCGGGGACGGAGAGCCAGAGUAUAAACUGCUCCACAGCACGGUUAGGACACAGGACACAAAUGC
This is a long non-coding RNA of Siniperca chuatsi (mandarin fish), 1348 nucleotides long. RefSeq lists it as uncharacterized. The transcript has 3 exons. The record is from RefSeq and is a predicted model, not a curated record. Lineage: Eukaryota; Metazoa; Chordata; Actinopteri; Centrarchiformes; Sinipercidae.